This is a non-coding RNA of Pelodiscus sinensis (Chinese soft-shelled turtle), 5280 nucleotides long. The record is from RefSeq and is a predicted model, not a curated record. NCBI's taxonomy places the organism in Eukaryota, Metazoa, Chordata, Testudines, Trionychidae.
AGCAUUUUAGCUAUUAUAUUUAAAAGUUACAGCUGUAGGAAAUAGAUUCCAAAUCACUUUGCUACAUGGUUUCUGUUAUUCUCUAUUCUAUAAGCUUUGCUACACUCUUCUUCCAUGGAAAUUCCUACAUUUAUAGGAAGACUAAUUAGGAAGGUUUCUAUAUUGAUUUUUAAAAUCAGAGUCCAUUACAUAAUUGUUUCCAGCUUUUAGUGCAAGGAAAAUUUUGAAUACCUUUGUUGAUAAAAUUACAACAAGUUAACUUAUGUCAAUAACACAUAAUUAUGCUAGUACAGGAUUUCUCAUUUUAAAUUAGUGAUGUUUAUUAUUAAUUUCGUUUAAUAAAAAGGAAGGUUACAUACCAACUUGUUAUUACUACAAACAAUGUCUUCAUUCCCAUACCCACCAAAAAAAUUCUAUAUGCCAUAAAGAAUGGUUCAUGGCAUUUGAUUUAUCAUUUCUGCCUUUACUUACAUAUAUUGCGCUGCUCUAUCUCACUGCACAAGUAAUAAGCCACACUACCAAUACCCCUGAUAGAGAGUGCCUAAAGCAGUUCGAUGAAACUGUCAUCAUUACAACUGAGUAACAUGUACAGAAAAGUAACCUGAUAACCAGUCGUCAGAGGGUGGACUUGUGGGAAUGCUAGGUAAGCAGACUUAGUAAAUGUUUACAUUAAAAUAAAAUGUAGUCUUGGCAUUUGUGCACCAAAGAUCCUUUUACUGCCAUAUUUAUAAUGAGUUUGACAGCCUCAGGAAAUGACCUGAAUGGUAUCCAAUCUCCAGGAAGAAAUAUGCUUAAACUUGAUCUGGAAAGCAAGUUGGAUUCCAAGUGAUGUUUUCAAUCUCCCACGUAUUGAAUUUCCUUUUGUUCUUCUCAGCAUCAACUUUUCCCAUAAACAUAUAAAAUUGAGAAGGGUUUCCUAGUUUCAUAAAGAUUUCAAAUCUUUAAGUGCAUUUUAAUUUUCAAGUAAAUUAAUUUUUACUUCCAAAAGAAUCUUUAUCAAAAUAUUUUGUCUUCAUGUAUUGAUUUUCUAAGAAAUAGUUUUUACAUCUAUCUACUAAAGUACAAUUGCAACAUUGUACCAGCUAGACAAAACAUAAGAGGCCAAAGAGAGGUUUAGGAUAGUUGAUGUUUCAAACAAAAACAACUUUAAGCCUGUGAAACUAAAAAAACUUGAACAAGGAAUUUUUAAAUCUAGAUUUGAAUUGGAAAAAAAUCUAACCCAGAGAACUAAAAUAUCCUAAGCUUAAGGCUGUAGUCUGAUAUUCUGAUAUUUUAGUAUUUAUUCUACACAUUCUUUCUCCUGUUUUCUACAUACAAAACACUGCACAGCAGACAGCAUCACAAGAGAUAUAAAUAAACCAACACAUCUCCUUCCAAAAGUAGCUUAUAUUUACUAUUUGUAUUGGGGUAGAAGCUCAUGGAUGAGAGCCACACUGUUCUUGCAAUCAAAUGUGCAUAAGAAUGCAUAUAGCUCAGCUCUAGACAAGGCUAUUCUUGUAUUUGUAAUAUGCAUAAAAUGAUGUACAAAAUAAAAGAAGAAAAAUUUUAAGUACAUGGUACCUUUAAAAAUAAGUUUUCACAUAUCAGUAUUUGAUUUUACUAGAAUGUAUGUAUAGUAUUUCCGAUACAUAGCAUGGGAAAUAACACUGCAAACUGCACUUCUCAGGAAAGUAACAUGUUAAUUUUUAAAUUAUGUCCAUUAUAAAUUAAAGUAUUUUUACAGGUUACCUUGUAUAAUAUACAGACACUUAAGAGUAUCACUCUACUCUUGAAGAAAUUUCUCUGUCCAGAGAUUGUUCAGGAUAGAACUAAAAAAUCUUGAUGUGUCAUUUAUCACCAGAGAACUAGGGAACUCAUGUAUGAUAUCAGAAGCAUUUUUUAAAUUGAAUAUAUGAAAAAUUGAAUAAAUGUUACUGGAGGAAAAAUUUCUAAAAGACAAUCACUGGCUAAAAAGCAGUCUGUUUUAUAGGGGAAGUGAAAGUCAAUAUAUACAUUUAUAACAAAUGUAAGAAAGGAGAAACUGAUUGUAAUGAUCAUAAAUCUGAAGUAAAAAUUGAUAAGGGAAGCAAAGGGACAUAAAGAGAAAUAUAUGGACAGCAGAGUUAAGAUCAAUAAAGAGGGUUUUUAAAGGGUAUUAAAAGAAUCCUAAAAAUGGGACUGAUCUAUCAUGCAAAUAGUAGAACGGUCAACAGUAAUGCAGAAAAGACAGAGGAGUUCAAUAAAUAUUUCUGGUUUGCAUUUGGGAAAAAUAGGUGAUAAAGUCGAAUGACAAUGACAAUUAUAUAUUUUACAUCCUAAGAGAAACUCAAUAAUGUUAAACAGAAGCCACUAAAGCUAGAUAUUACAUUCACAAAAUUUUAAAAGAACUGGCCAAGAAGUUCUCUGGGCUGUUAAUGUUGUUUUUCAAUUAGCCUUGGAACUCUGGGGAAGUUCCAGAAGACGGAAAGAAAGCUAAGGUUGUGCCAGUAUUUUUAAAAAGUAAACAGGAUGACCAAGGUAAUUAUAGGCUUAUCAACCUGACACUGACCCCAAGCAAAAUAAUGAAACAGCUGAUAGAGAACUUGAUUAAUAAAGAAUUAAAGGAAGGUAUUCCAACUACAUAUUUGAAUCUGAGAUACAGGCUGUGAUUGGCUCCGGGGAUAGUGUUGCAAGUCAGGGGCAUUGUAACUCAAGCCCGCAUUUACAACAGGUGUCGUACGCCAUCGUAAAUACGGGGCCGAAGAUGUAAAUCGGGGGAUUUUGGCCCCUUCUGCACUUACAGAAAAUGUCGUAAUAACAGAAGAUAAUGCCCUCUGAUGGAAAAGGCACCUAGUUUGCUGACUCUCUACUGUGGUUUAAUAGCCAGCAAGAAGAAAGCGUUAGCCCAUGUGAAGAUGGAGUGAGUCAGAAGUCACUGGCCAUUAAGCAGUUUGGCAAAAUGCCAGCAGAGGGAGCAUGCAGCAGCAAUAGAGAAAAGUAACUGUUAAGUACCAGCUUCCAGACGAAUGGAAAUUGCAGGAUACCCAUGAGAUAAGGGCAACAGUUGAUUUGGUAUAUGAGAAAGGCAUUCUGCAAUUUGCAUUGUUAUACAUUAUGAGAUUGAAAUAUCCAGCCAGAGCCUCUGGUAACCAUUAUAAAUACGCACACUUAAAAUAGUUUGACAAAUACACGUUAUGGCAAAUAAGCCACCAGAGCCGAAGGUGUUUUCUCCUCCUCGUCAUCCCUUUAUUUUCCUAAAAGGAGUGGGUGGGUGGUGGGUAAGAGGUUCCCAGAACAAAAAAAGCAAGUGAGAGACUGUGCAGUACUAAAAGAUAAGUGCCGAACAAGAAUGUAUUCCACAAUUUCUCUUAUGUUUUGCAGCACAUUUUCCUCCCAGAGAUGGUAAGUAAUUUUUAAGAUUUUUUUCCCCUAGUGGUGGUCAAAUAAACUUCAAAUUUCCUUAACAUCACAUCAUUUGACUUCAUGCCUAAGUCUGAUACAGAAACUGAGCUGGUAAAGUGAGCCAGUGUCUUGGCCCUGGAUGAAGAUAAAAGAAUUCAUGCUGCUUCUUUUAGCUCCAGCAGCCCCCUUAUGCUGAAGGAAUCUCUUAUGCAGAGUAAUGCAACAGCUCUAUUUUAUCACCCUAGAGCAGGGGUUGGCAACGUACAGCACACGUGCCACAAAUGUCAUGCAAGAUGAUUUUCAGUGGCACGCGCAAUGAACGGGCUCCACCUUGCUCUCCACUUCUACAAUGGUGAACCCGUGCUGGCGAUCCAGCAUCACACCCCCUCCCUCCCUGUAAGACUGGAGCCAGCGCCAGCUUCCUGAGGGGGGAGGGAGGAAGCCCUGAAGCUCCGCACCAGAUCUAGCUAGUGGGAAAGUGCGUGCUGCUUCUCUCCUCCUCAUAGCAACACACACGCUGCUUUAUACACGCAACCUUCACUCAUGCUCCCGGGAGGUGGGAAAUGGGAGCUGAGUGGCCUCCCCCUGCCUGGAAGCCCUGGGCAAGAGACCAAGCAGGGCGCAGUGUGGAGAGACCUCUCCCCCACUUCUGGGAGAGCGGCAUGGCCCAGGGCAGGAGGGUAUGCUGGGGCAUGCCAUUUCUGAAAGAUGGCCAACCUCUGCCCUAGAACACUGCAAAUUUGCAGAUAUCCACUUUAUAUCUGUGAGUAUCCACAUCUGCAGCUGUCAAUGUGGAUAUCCGCAGUUCAUUUUUGCAGAUCCAAAGGAGGAGGAUAUGGAUACAAAUUUUGUGUCCAUGCAGGGCUCUAUAUCACCCUUCAUUUUUCAAUAGGUAUAUAAGCCUUGAGGCAGGGUAUAUGGUGAACUACAAAAUCUAUUUCCCUUGGCUACCCUGGGAGGCUUUGUAAGAGAUGAACUGUGGUUUCUUAAUCCACAGGCUAGAUGAUAUUUUAUAUAGACAAAUUAAGGCUCAAAUUAUAUUCUGUGCAUGAACUAGCUGAAUUGUAUUGUAUUCAUAGGCAUGCUCACAGGGUGUGCUGGGAGUGCCCGGGCACACCCUAAUGUCUCGGGCUGGCUGGCAGCUGCUGGAGGAGGAGGGGGAUUUGAGACGGGGUACCACAGCCUGUCACUUUUCCUGCAGCCAUCUACGGGGCACUUUGGGGCAGAAAGCGCGCAUGCGCGGUGGAAGCAGCUGGGGCCAGACCAAAGAUGCCAGCCCGAGCCAUUUUUUUGCCCCGAGCCCGACAGAAGGGCAGACACCUGCAGGGGAGGAACCAGCACCAGAGAAGCGAAGCAGGGCAGAUGUCAACGUGUUCUACAAAGAAGUACAAGUAUUCAUAUACCCAUUUCAUGGAUAGGGAAACCGAAGCAGAUAGGUGAAAAGACUUUUUCCUCAGUCACACUAUAUGACAAUAGAAGAACCAAGAAAAUAACUGAAGUGUCUCAACCCCCAGUCCAAUGCCCUUGCUACCAGGCCAUGCUUUCUUCUCCAGCAAUACCUAAUUCUUUGUUGAAUUCUUAAUUUUGUAUAGAUUUUAGGACUUAGGCAAAUGCUUUAUUAUGUCUUAAUAAAUACAUUCUGAUCAAGGUUCCCUGCAAGCUGAGUGACCACACGGGUGCGCAGCCCAUUUCUGAGCUCCAUGCAGCAGUUCACAGCUUCUUACGCAUGCAGGAAGCUCAGCUGAUUGGCUGGGGAAAGAGGGUGGGGCAUGAACUAGCUCACUCUCUUGGAGGAGCAGAAGCAGCAGCAGCAACUGCUACCUAUCAUAAAUGGAGAAGCCUCUACUCCAAGGCUGGACAAAAGAUGAUCUGCAGGCUAAGGAUGUUAAGGACUAUCAGAGGCAGCAAAGGGGGAGGAAG